GACGAACGCUGGCGGUGUGCCUAACACAUGCAAGUCGAACGGUAAGGCCCUUUCGGGGGUACACGAGUGUCGAAGGGGUGCGUAACACUUGAGUAACCUUCCCUCAUCUCUGGGAUAACAGUCGGAAACGGUUGCUAAUACUGAUUAUGAACCAUCAAUGCAACUUCAUGGUUGGAAAGAUUUGUUGGUUUGGGCUGGACUUGCUGGCUAUCAGCUUGUUGGUGAGGUAGUGGCUUACCAAGGCUUCGACGGGUAGCCGGCCUGAGGGGGCGACCGGCCACACAGAGACUGAGAGGCGGCAGAAACAGCUACGGGAGGGAGAAGUGGGGAAGAUUGAAGAAUGGACGGAGGUCUGGUGCAGAAACGCUGCGUGCGGGAUGACGCCGUUAGGGUUGUAGACCGAUUUCAAUAGUGACGAAGCUUUUUGUGACGGUAGCAGUAGAAGAAGCACCGGCUAACUACGUG
Molecule: ribosomal RNA, 465 nt
Filed under: uncultured bacterium
Lineage: Bacteria
Description: partial 16S ribosomal RNA
Rfam family: Bacterial small subunit ribosomal RNA
Source: RNAcentral